CUGCGGCAGCGACACUCAGGUGUUGUUGGGUAGGGGAGCGUUCUGUAAGCCUGCGAAGGUGGCCUGUGAGGGUUGCUGGAGGUAUCAGAAGUGCGAAUGCUGACAUAAGUAACGAUAAAGCGGGUGAAAAGCCCGCUCGCCGGAAGACCAAGGGUUCCUGUCCAACGUUAAUCGGGGCAGGGUGAGUCGACCCCUAAGGCGAGGCCGAAAGGCGUAGUCGAUGGGAAACGGGUUAAUAUUCCCGUACUUGGUGUUACUGCGAAGGGGGGACGGAGAAGGCUAUGUUGGCCGGGCGACGGUUGUCCCGGUUUAAGCGUGUAGGUGUGUGUUCCAGGUAAAUCCGGUUCACUUUAACACUGAGGCGUGAUGACGAGGCACUACGGUGCUGAAGCAACAAAUGCCCUGCUUCCAGGAAAAGCCUCUAAGCAUCAGGUAACAUCAAAUCGUACCCCAAACCGACACAGGUGGUCAGGUAGAGAAUACCAAGGCGCUUGAGAGAACUCGGGUGAAGGAACUAGGCAAAAUGGUGCCGUAACUUCGGGAGAAGGCACGCUGACACGUAGGUGAAGUGAUUUACUCAUGGAGCUGAAGUCAGUCGAAGAUACCAGCUGGCUGCAACUGUUUAUUAAAAACACAGCACUGUGCAAACACGAAAGUGGACGUAUACGGUGUGACGCCUGCCCGGUGCCGGAAGGUUAAUUGAUGGGGUCAGCGCAAGCGAAGCUCCUGAUCGAAGCCCCGGUAAACGGCGGCCGUAACUAUAACGGUCCUAAGGUAGCGAAAUUCCUUGUCGGGUAAGUUCCGACCUGCACGAAUGGCGUAAUGAUGGCCAGGCUGUCUCCACCCGAGACUCAGUGAAAUUGAACUCGCUGUGAAGAUGCAGUGUACCCGCGGCAAGACGGAAAGACCCCGUGAACCUUUACUAUAGCUUGACACUGAACAUUGAGCCUUGAUGUGUAGGAUAGGUGGGAGGCUUUGAAGUGUGGACGCCAGUCUGCAUGGAGCCGACCUUGAAAUACCACCCUUUAAUGUUUGAUGUUCUAACGUGGACCCGUGAUCCGGGUUGCGGACAGUGUCUGGUGGGUAGUUUGACUGGGGCGGUCUCCUCCUAAAGAGUAACGGAGGAGCACGAAGGUUGGCUAAUCCUGGUCGGACAUCAGGAGGUUAGUGCAAUGGCAUAAGCCAGCUUGACUGCGAGCGUGACGGCGCGAGCAGGUGCGAAAGCAGGUCAUAGUGAUCCGGUGGUUCUGAAUGGAAGGGCCAUCGCUCAACGGAUAAAAGGUACUCCGGGGAUAACAGGCUGAUACCGCCCAAGAGUUCAUAUCGACGGCGGUGUUUGGCACCUCGAUGUCGGCUCAUCACAUCCUGGGGCUGAAGUAGGUCCCAAGGGUAUGGCUGUUCGCCAUUUAAAGUGGUACGCGAGCUGGGUUUAGAACGUCGUGAGACAGUUCGGUCCCUAUCUGCCGUGGGCGCUGGAGAACUGAGGGGGGCUGCUCCUAGUACGAGAGGACCGGAGUGGACGCAUCACUGGUGUUCGGGUUGUCAUGCCAAUGGCACUGCCCGGUAGCUAAAUGCGGAAGAGAUAAGUGCUGAAAGCAUCUAAGCACGAAACUUGCCCCGAGAUGAGUUCUCCCUGAGACUUUAAGUCUCCUGAAGGAACGUUGAAGACGACGACGUUGAUAGGCCGGGUGUGUAAGCGCAGCGAUGCGUUGAGCUAACCGGUACUAAUGAACCGUGAGGCUUAACCUUACA
Molecule: ribosomal RNA, 1752 nt
Filed under: Salmonella enterica
Lineage: Bacteria; Pseudomonadati; Pseudomonadota; Gammaproteobacteria; Enterobacterales; Enterobacteriaceae
Description: partial 23S ribosomal RNA
Rfam family: Bacterial large subunit ribosomal RNA
Source: RNAcentral